CCUACGGGAGGCAGCAGUAGGGAAUCUUUCACAAUGGGCGAAAGCCUGAUGGAGCAACGCCGCGUGCAGGAUGAAGGCCUUCGGGUUGUAAACUGCUUUUAUAAGCGAGAAAUAUGAUGGUAACUUAUGAAUAAGGAUCUGCUAACUACGUGCCAGCAGCAGCGGUCAUACGUAGGAUCCGAGCAUUAUCCGGAGUGACUGGGUGUAAAGAGUUGCGUAGGUGGCAUAAUAAGUAGCUAGUGAAAUCUGGUGGCUCAACCAUUCAGACUAUUAGCUAAACUGUUAAGCUCGAGACCGUUAGGGGUAACUGGAAUUUCUAGUGUAGGAGUGAAAUCCGUAGAUAUUAGAAGGAACACCAAUAGCGUAGGCAGGUUGCUGGGACGGUUCUGACACUAAGGCACGAAAGCGUAGGGAGCAAACGGGAUUAGAUACCCGGGUAGUC
This 442-nucleotide ribosomal RNA is filed under the name uncultured bacterium. RNAcentral's name for it is "partial 16S ribosomal RNA". It matches the Rfam family "Bacterial small subunit ribosomal RNA", at positions 338 to 795 of the family's 1533-position model. The record is from RNAcentral.